GAAAUGCGAUAAGUAGUGUGAAUUGCAGAAUUCAGUGAAUCAUCGAAUCUUUGAACGCACAUUGCGCCCCUUGGUAUUCCAUGGGGCAUGCCUGUUCGAGCGUCAUUUGUACCCUCAAGCUCUGCUUGGUGUUGGGUGUUUGUCCCGUCUCCGCGCGUGGACUCGCCCCAAAGUGAUUGGCAGCCGGCGUACUGGUCCCGGAGCGCAGCACAUGUCGCGCAAACGAGUGCCUUGGUACGGCGGCGUCCAUAAGCCCCUCUCUCAAGCUCUUGACCUCGGAUCAGGUAGGGAUACCCGCUGAACUUAAGC
Molecule: unclassified non-coding RNA, 309 nt
Filed under: plant metagenome
Description: partial contains 5.8S ribosomal RNA, internal transcribed spacer 2, and large subunit ribosomal RNA
Rfam family: 5.8S ribosomal RNA (bases 1-105)
Source: RNAcentral